GAUGAACGCUGGCGGCGUGCCUAAUACAUGCAAGUCGAGCGAACGGACGAGAAGCUUGCUUCUCUGAUGUUAGCGGCGGACGGGUGAGCAACACGUGGAUAACCUACCUAUAAGACUGGGAUAACUUCGGGAAACCGGAGCUAAUACCGGAUAAUAUUUUGAACCGCAUGGUUCAAAAGUGAAAGACGGUCUUGCUGUCACUUAUAGAUGGAUCCGCGCUGCAUUAGCUAGUUGGUAAGGUAACGGCUUACCAAGGCAACGAUGCAUAGCCGACCUGAGAGGGUGAUCGGCCACACUGGAACUGAGACACGGUCCAGACUCCUACGGGAGGCAGCAGUAGGGAAUCUUCCGCAAUGGGCGAAAGCCUGACGGAGCAACGCCGCGUGAGUGAUGAAGGUCUUCGGAUCGUAAAACUCUGUUAUUAGGGAAGAACAUAUGUGUAAGUAACUGUGCACAUCUUGACGGUACCUAAUCAGAAAGCCACGGCUAACUACGUGCCAGCAGCCGCGGUAAUACGUAGGUGGCAAGCGUUAUCCGGAAUUAUUGGGCGUAAAGCGCGCGUAGGCGGUUUUUUAAGUCUGAUGUGAAAGCCCACGGCUCAACCGUGGAGGGUCAUUGGAAACUGGAAAACUUGAGUGCAGAAGAGGAAAGUGGAAUUCCAUGUGUAGCGGUGAAAUGCGCAGAGAUAUGGAGGAACACCAGUGGCGAAGGCGACUUUCUGGUCUGUAACUGACGCUGAUGUGCGAAAGCGUGGGGAUCAAACAGGAUUAGAUACCCUGGUAGUCCACGCCGUAAACGAUGAGUGCUAAGUGUUAGGGGGUUUCCGCCCCUUAGUGCUGCAGCUAACGCAUUAAGCACUCCGCCUGGGGAGUACGACCGCAAGGUUGAAACUCAAAGGAAUUGACGGGGACCCGCACAAGCGGUGGAGCAUGUGGUUUAAUUCGAAGCAACGCGAAGAACCUUACCAAAUCUUGACAUCCUUUGACAACUCUAGAGAUAGAGCCUUCCCCUUCGGGGGACAAAGUGACAGGUGGUGCAUGGUUGUCGUCAGCUCGUGUCGUGAGAUGUUGGGUUAAGUCCCGCAACGAGCGCAACCCUUAAGCUUAGUUGCCAUCAUUAAGUUGGGCACUCUAAGUUGACUGCCGGUGACAAACCGGAGGAAGGUGGGGAUGACGUCAAAUCAUCAUGCCCCUUAUGAUUUGGGCUACACACGUGCUACAAUGGACAAUACAAAGGGCAGCGAAACCGCGAGGUCAAGCAAAUCCCAUAAAGUUGUUCUCAGUUCGGAUUGUAGUCUGCAACUCGACUACAUGAAGCUGGAAUCGCUAGUAAUCGUAGAUCAGCAUGCUACGGUGAAUACGUUCCCGGGUCU
RNAcentral lists this ribosomal RNA (1372 nucleotides) under uncultured bacterium. RNAcentral's name for it is "bacterial SSU rRNA". It matches the Rfam family "Bacterial small subunit ribosomal RNA", at positions 28 to 1381 of the family's 1533-position model. The record is from RNAcentral.